This 460-nucleotide long non-coding RNA is filed under the name Brachypodium distachyon (stiff brome). Its description in RNAcentral is "long non-coding RNA (BDIS_LNC005632)". The record is from RNAcentral. Lineage: Eukaryota; Viridiplantae; Streptophyta; Magnoliopsida; Poales; Poaceae.
GUCAUUUGUCAUAAUACACCGCCUAGCCUAAAACAGAAAGUUUUGACUCUUUUCUUUUCCUUUGAAUGAUGCCUUUUGCUUUGGGAGGAUGACAGUUUUGAACAUUCUUUUUUUUUUCUCAUUGAAAUUUUGACCCUAAAAGGCAGCACGUAAGUGUCAAAUUUGAACAUUAUUUGAUUAUAAAAUUGUUCAGCAUUUAGCAUCAAGUCGAACCAUAACAGUUCACAAAAUCAUAGGUCCGAGAUAUUGUGGAAAAAGUGAAACUUUUGGUUCUACGCCAAGCGUUGUGUUGUGACAAAUGAUCACUGAAUUCUAAUGGUACUAAACGAAGACGUAAUCUGACGAUGUGUUUCAGCAAAGGCCGAAAAAUUACUUGUGGCUAAUUUUCCCUUAAUAAGUUGCCAUCGACUGUUUCCUUCAGAGUUGUUUUCUUCGUCCAUCGUUGGCGGUGAAAACGGUG